This 744-nucleotide ribosomal RNA is filed under the name uncultured bacterium. Its description in RNAcentral is "bacterial SSU rRNA". It matches the Rfam family "Bacterial small subunit ribosomal RNA", at positions 8 to 796 of the family's 1533-position model. The record is from RNAcentral.
AGAGUUUGAUCCUGGCUCAGAGCGAACGCUGGCGGCAGGCUUAACACAUGCAAGUCGAGCGGGCGUAGCAAUACGUCAGCGGCAGACGGGUGAGUAACGCGUGGGAACGUACCUUUUGGUUCGGAACAACUGAGGGAAACUUCAGCUAAUACCGGAUAAGCCCUUACGGGGAAAGAUUUAUCGCCGAAAGAUCGGCCCGCGUCUGAUUAGCUAGUUGGUGAGGUAAUGGCUCACCAAGGCGACGAUCAGUAGCUGGUCUGAGAGGAUGAUCAGCCACAUUGGGACUGAGACACGGCCCAAACUCCUACGGGAGGCAGCAGUGGGGAAUAUUGGACAAUGGGCGAAAGCCUGAUCCAGCCAUGCCGCGUGAGUGAUGAAGGCCCUAGGGUUGUAAAGCUCUUUUGUGCGGGAAGAUAAUGACGGUACCGCAAGAAUAAGCCCCGGCUAACUUCGUGCCAGCAGCCGCGGUAAUACGAAGGGGGCUAGCGUUGCUCGGAAUCACUGGGCGUAAAGGGUGCGUAGGCGGGUCUUUAAGUCAGAGGUGAAAUCCUGGAGCUCAACUCCAGAACUGCCUUUGAUACUGAGGAUCUUGAGUUCGGGAGAGGUGAGUGGAACUGCGAGUGUAGAGGUGAAAUUCGUAGAUAUUCGCAAGAACACCAGUGGCGAAGGCGGCUCACUGGCCCGAUACUGACGCUGAGGCACGAAAGCGUGGGGAGCAAACAGGAUUAGAUACCCUGGUAGUCC